Helobdella robusta is the source of this 45-nucleotide non-coding RNA. Lineage: Eukaryota; Metazoa; Annelida; Clitellata; Rhynchobdellida; Glossiphoniidae. The record is from Rfam.
CAAAUGACUCUUUUCAGAGUCACCCCGCCUAAAUAAAACAACUAA